GAUGAACGCUGGCGGCGUGCCUAAUACAUGCAAGUCGAGCGAACGGACGAGAAGCUUGCUUUUCUGAUGUUAGCGGCGGACAGGUGAGUAACACGUGGAUAACCUACCUAUAAGACUGGGAUAACUUCGGGAAACAGGAGCUCAAACCGGAUAAUAUUUUGAUCCGCAUGGUUCAAAAGUGAAAGACGGUCUUACUGUCACUCAUAGAUGGAUCCGCGCUGCAUUAGCUAGUUGGUAAGGUAACGGCUUACCAAGGCAACGAUGCAUAGCCGACCUGAGAGGGUGAUCGGCCACACUGGAACUGAGACACGGUCCAGACUCCUACGGGAGGCAGCAGUAGGGAAUCUUCCGCAAUGGGCGAAAGCCUGACGGAGCAACGCCGCGUGAGUGAUGAAGGUCUUCGGAUCGUAAAACUCUGUUAUUAGGGAAGAACAUAUGUGUAAGUAACUGUGCACAUCUUGACGGUACCUAAUCAGAAAGCCACGGCUAACUACGUG
RNAcentral lists this ribosomal RNA (497 nucleotides) under uncultured bacterium. RNAcentral describes it as "partial 16S ribosomal RNA". It matches the Rfam family "Bacterial small subunit ribosomal RNA", at positions 28 to 507 of the family's 1533-position model. The record is from RNAcentral.